Molecule: non-coding RNA, 2337 nt
Organism: Microcebus murinus (gray mouse lemur)
Lineage: Eukaryota; Metazoa; Chordata; Mammalia; Primates; Cheirogaleidae
Source: RefSeq, a predicted model, not a curated record
AAAAGAAAGUCUGUGCUCACUAAAACUUUAUUGAUACCGCCAACAAACAGACAGACCCCUAUCGCGCAUGCGCAAUGAUUAAACCGGCCUAGGGAAAGGGGCGGGGUUCAGCCCGGGGCGCACAGAGAACACUGGCGCAUGCGCGCGGGUCCUCCCUGCCUCUGGGCGACUCUGGGUUGGGGCGUGAGCUGCAGGCGCAGUUUCUUCAGUUUAUCCAUCAUUAUGGAGUAAGCCAACUGUCCUGUUGUAAGCAACACUGUGAAGUAAGAAACUGAGGCCUCUUGUCCAACAGCCAUGUGAGUGAACUUGGAAUUGGAUCCUCCAGCCCCAUUCAAGCCUUUGGACGACUGUAGCCCCAGCUUACAGUUUGACUGCAGCUUCAUGAGAGAAUCUGAACCAGAACCAGCCAACUAAGCUGCUCCCAGGUUUCUGAUCCUGAGAAACUCAUUUUAAGCCCUAAAUUUUGCAUAAUUAGUGGUACAUCAAUAGAUAACUAAUAUAAGGAGGCAGGAGUCACAACAUGGUAGUCUAGCCUGGAAAAGAUAGCCAGAAAUUCAUUUCAACAAGAGGAGUAGACAGAAACAUAUUACAUUUAAGUAGGUCAAUUAAAGUAGGUCUUGAUAAUAUGUCAAGCCUGGAGGAUCAGGGAGCCAGCAAAAUUGGCACACUUUAGAAAAGUUGGUACCUAAGUAUUUAAUUCAAAGGCUGGUAGAAGAUACAGGUGAAUUUGAUCUUAAUGGACACAGCAAAGAGAAGCUAGAGUUACCUUACAAAUUGAGGGACUCUUAAGAUAUUUGAUGUGGAAGUUGUCAUAGUUAUCAGAGUUCAAUCAAUUAAAUAGACAUCAUUGCCACCUUCUAGGAAAUCCUAAUAUUUUUAAAUGGAUAAGUUGAUAUAAGCCAGCAUAUAAAAAGAUAUAAUUCCAGAUCCCAGAAGCACAUUCCUCUUUCUCCUCAUCAUUCUCUCUGCCACCAUAAGGCUCUCACCACCUCAUGUCUAUCACUUAAUUGCUACCAGGUUGUUUCUUAUUCUUUAGACUUGUCCCUUUAACUACACUGUAGGCUGCUUAAGGAAAAGAUCAUGUCUCCUUCAAUAAUCCCCUUCCAACCACAAGUUCUUCUUAUUUGAAAUGUGAGUAUAUGCGGCCUUAUUUCUGUAUACCUUCUCUGAAACCACAAGAAUUUUGGAUCACUAUACAUGAAUCAUUUCAAGUUGCUGCCAUCUUAUCUGUAGUGAGAUUUAGGGUCCUCUGGGUUAUUUGCUUCUUCCCUCUUCUGCCUCUGUAUACUAUUAGUUAUGUUCUCUCCAAUUCUUACAAAGGCAUAUUAUUUUCUUUAUAUUGUAGGUAGUAGCAGGUGGUACAAGGAAUGAUGUUAGGUGUUGGGAGGACAUACUGCCAUGGAACAGAUAGACAUGGACCCUGCUUUCCUAUCAUUUGCUACCCAGUUUUUAGGGUGAUAUUAGAGGAUACCCAAUGUCUCCGUCAUCUGCUGCUACAGAGACCUGUUUUAUGCUCUUCAGAGAAAGGCCUCCAGUCCUCUACUGAAGAUGAAGAAGACUGUAGUUGACCCAUAGUUUACAGUGCAAAAGGGGAUGUGGGAUCUAACUGCUUCGUCAACAGACUUCCAAGUAAUUCUCUGUAUUUAGCCCCACUUUCACUGCACUUUUUCAUUUGCCAUAGCCAAAGACUUAUAAUGAUUUACUGUGGCCCUAACUGUGAAAUUUUGGCUGUCAAAACAGAGUAUUUGGAUAAAAGUAUUAGUAGCUUCUUUUUAUGGAGUAUCUGAUUUGUACCAGGGUCAUUAUAAAUAUUAUUUAUAAUUUUCAAAACCACCCUGAAACUACAAGUUAUUAUCAUUCCCCAUUGCAUGGAAUUGAUGAAUAAUUUAUCUGGAGUCACAUAGCAAAUAAGUAAAUGGGUUUAGGAUUUAAAAUCAAGUCUGGAUUGUUGGCACUAAAACUGAUGCUCUUUUGGACAUGUUCCACUGUUUUUGUUGGUUUUAGAAGAGGAAUUAACCUUGUAAGUUAUUGGCACAAUUGAAAUGUGUUAAAUAAUGCUUCUGUUCUGCACUUCAUCUCAUGAUCAUAAGGUGUGUUAAAACAUAAUUCUCAUAGUGGCCUUGUAUUUAGGGUGUAGCUGGAGCAGGCAUUGAGAGUGGAGAGUGAGAGACCAAACAUUAUUGGAGUGAAGAUUUGAAAAAGUUGAUGAUCCAGCAAAUAGUAGGAAAUGUUAAUGAACUGUGAAGGGGAAAAGCUUGCAAUUAUAUUUAUAUUCUCUAUAUUUAGGUUAUGAUGAAAAACCAAAUGAUGAAAUAAAAUAUAGCUUUUUUCUGUUGU